RNAcentral lists this unclassified non-coding RNA (253 nucleotides) under uncultured Chlamydiales bacterium. RNAcentral's name for it is "contains 16S-23S intergenic spacer region". It matches the Rfam family "Bacterial small subunit ribosomal RNA", at positions 524 to 776 of the family's 1533-position model. The record is from RNAcentral. Lineage: Bacteria; Pseudomonadati; Chlamydiota; Chlamydiia; Chlamydiales.
UACGGAGGGUGCAAGCAUUGAUCGGAAUUACUGGGCGUAAAGGGCGCGUAGGCGGUUAGAAAAGUCAGAUGUGAAAUUCCGGGGCUCAACCUCGGAGCUGCAUUUGAAACUCUCUAGCUAGAGUACAGUUAGGGUAAACGGAAUUCCACGUGUAGCGGUGAAAUGCGUAGAUAUGUGGAAGAACACCGGUGGUGAAGACGGUUUACUGGGCUGUAACUGACGCUGAGGCGCGAAAGCAUGGGGAUCAAACAGG